RNAcentral lists this ribosomal RNA (469 nucleotides) under uncultured Perlucidibaca sp. RNAcentral's name for it is "bacterial SSU rRNA". It matches the Rfam family "Bacterial small subunit ribosomal RNA", at positions 335 to 796 of the family's 1533-position model. The record is from RNAcentral. Lineage: Bacteria; Pseudomonadati; Pseudomonadota; Gammaproteobacteria; Pseudomonadales; Perlucidibacaceae.
UGUCCUACGGGUGGCAGCAGUGGGGAAUAUUGGACAAUGGGCGAAAGCCUGAUCCAGCCAUGCCGCGUGUGUGAAGAAGGCCUUCGGGUUGUAAAGCACUUUAAGCGGGGAGGAAGGUUCGCUGGCUAAUAUCCAGCGGAAUUGACGUUACCCGCAGAAUAAGCACCGGCUAACUCUGUGCCAGCAGCCGCGGUAAUACAGAGGGUGCAAGCGUUAAUCGGAAUUACUGGGCGUAAAGCGCGUGUAGGCGGUUGUGUAAGUUGGAGGUGAAAUCCCCGGGCUUAACCUGGGCACUGCCUUCAAAACUGAACGGCUAGAGUAUGGGAGAGGAAGGUAGAAUUCCAGGUGUAGCGGUGAAAUGCGUAGAGAUCUGGAGGAAUACCGAUGGCGAAGGCAGCCUUCUGGCCUAAUACUGACGCUGAGGUGCGAAAGCAUGGGGAGCAAACAGGAUUAGAUACCCUAGUAGUCG